This 629-nucleotide ribosomal RNA is filed under the name uncultured bacterium. RNAcentral describes it as "bacterial SSU rRNA". It matches the Rfam family "Bacterial small subunit ribosomal RNA", at positions 869 to 1501 of the family's 1533-position model. The record is from RNAcentral.
CCGCCUGGGGAGUACGGUCGCAAGAUUAAAACUCAAAGGAAUUGACGGGGACCCGCACAAGCGGUGGAUGAUGUGGAUUAAUUCGAUGCAACGCGAAAAACCUUACCUACCCUUGACAUGCCACUAACGAAGCAGAGAUGCAUUAGGUGCCCGAAAGGGAAAGUGGACACAGGUGCUGCAUGGCUGUCGUCAGCUCGUGUCGUGAGAUGUUGGGUUAAGUCCCGCAACGAGCGCAACCCUUGUCAUCAGUUGCUACGAAAGGGCACUCUGAUGAGACUGCCGGUGACAAACCGGAGGAAGGUGGGGAUGACGUCAGGUCCUCAUGGCCCUUAUGGGUAGGGCUACACACGUCAUACAAUGGCCGGUACAGAGGGCAGCCAACCCGCGAGGGGGAGCCAAUCCCAGAAAACCGGUCGUAGUCCGGAUCGCAGUCUGCAACUCGACUGCGUGAAGUCGGAAUCGCUAGUAAUCGCGGAUCAGCUUGCCGCGGUGAAUACGUUCCCGGGUCUUGUACACACCGCCCGUCACACCAUGGGAGCGGGUUCUGCCAGAAGUAGUUAGCCUAACCGCAAGGGGGGCGAUUACCACGGCAGGGUUCGUGACUGGGGUGAAGUCGUAACAAGGUAACC